Molecule: ribosomal RNA, 253 nt
Filed under: uncultured bacterium
Lineage: Bacteria
Description: partial 16S ribosomal RNA
Rfam family: Bacterial small subunit ribosomal RNA
Source: RNAcentral
UACGAAGGGGGCUAGCGUUGUUCGGAUUUACUGGGCGUAAAGCGCAUGUAGGCGGACCAUUAAGUUGGGGGUGAAAUCCCGAGGCUCAACCUCGGAAUUGCCUCCAAAACUGGCGGUCUGGAGCAGAAGGGAGGCGAGUGGAAUUACGAGUGUAGAGGUGAAAUUCGUAGAUAUUCGGAGGAACACCAGUGGCGAAGUCGACUCGCUGGCUUCUUGCUGACGCUGAGAAGUGAAAGCGUGGGAAGCAAACAGG